Molecule: ribosomal RNA, 1470 nt
Filed under: uncultured prokaryote
Description: partial 16S ribosomal RNA
Rfam family: Bacterial small subunit ribosomal RNA
Source: RNAcentral
AACGAACGCUGGCGGCGUGCCUAACACAUGCAAGUCGAGCGCGAACGUAGACUUCGGUCUGCUAGUAGAGCGGCGGACGGGUGAGUAACACGUGGGUAACCUGCCCUCGAGUGGGGAAUAACCCAGGGAAACUUGGGCUAAUACCGCAUGAAGUCACCGGCUCUCUGGAGCUGAUGAUGAAAGGUGGGGAUCGAGAGACCUACCGCUCGAGGAGGGGCCCGCGCCUGAUUAGCUUGUUGGUGGGGUAACGGCCUACCAAGGCUGCGAUCAGUAGCCGGCCUGAGAGGGCGAUCGGCCACACUGGAACUGAGACACGGUCCAGACUCCUACGGGAGGCAGCAGUGAGGAAUCUUGCGCAAUGGGCGAAAGCCUGACGCAGCAACGCCGCGUGGGUGAUGAAGGCCUUCGGGUCGUAAAACCCUGUCGGGUGGGAAGAAAUGGCGAUCGGCGAAUACCCGAUCGUCUUGACUGUACCAUCAAAGGAAGCCCCGGCUAACUCCGUGCCAGCAGCCGCGGUAAUACGGGGGGGGCAAGCGUUGUUCGGAUUUACUGGGCGUAAAGGGCUCGUACGCGGCCGGUCUAGCAUUUUGUGAAAUCCCUCGGCUCAACCGAGGAAUUGCGAGGUGAACUGGCCGGCUUGAGCUGCAGAUGGGUGACUGGAACUCUAGUGGAGUGGUGAAAUACGUAGAUAUCUAGAGGAACGCCGUGGUGAAAACGCGUCACUGGCUGCUGCUGACGCUGAGUGCGAAGCGUGGGGAGCGAACGGGAUUAGAUACCCCGGUAGUCACGCGUAAACGAUGGGCACUAGGUUCGGGGGAGUUUGACCUUUUCCGGGCCGAAGCAAAAGUACUAAGUGCCCCGCCUGGGGAGUACGGUCGCAAGGCUAAAACUCAAAGGAAUUGACGGGGGCUCACACAAGCGGUGGAGCAUGUGGCUCAAUUCGAGGCAACGCGAAGAACCUUAUCCUGGGUUUGACAUGGUUGGAUGCCCUCGUCGAAAGGCGAGUAAGCUGCCUUCGGGUGAAACUUCGAUAGGUGCUGCAUGGCUGUCGUCAGCUCGUGCUGUGAAGUGUUGGGUUAAGUCCCCUAACGAGCGAAACCCUUGUCUCUAGUUACCAGCGAGUAAUGUCGGGGACUCUAGAGAGACUGCCGGUGUUAAACCGGAGGAAGGUGGGGAUGACGUCAAGUCCUCAUGGCCUUUAUGCCCAGGGCUGCACACGUGCUACAAUGGUCGGUAUAGAACGAAGCAAUACCGCGAGGUGGAGCAAAUCGGAAAAAGCCGGCCCCAGUUCGGAUUGCAGGCUGCAAUUCGCCUGCAUGAAGUUGGAAUCGCUAGUAAUCGCAGAUCAGCUAUGCUGCGGUGAAUAUGUUCCUGAGCCUUGUACACACCGCCCGUCAAGUCAUGGAAGCUGGCAGCGCCCGAAGUCCCGACAAUUCGGUCGGGCCGAUGGUAAGCUUGGUAACCGGGACU